Non-coding RNA from Stegodyphus mimosarum, 73 nucleotides. Lineage: Eukaryota; Metazoa; Arthropoda; Arachnida; Araneae; Eresidae. The record is from Rfam.
GCUUUCGUGGUGUAGAGGUCAGCACGCUCGACGCAGAACCAAGACGUCCGUGGUUCGAUUCCCGGCGAAGCCG